Molecule: ribosomal RNA, 377 nt
Filed under: uncultured euryarchaeote
Lineage: Archaea; Methanobacteriati; Methanobacteriota
Description: bacterial SSU rRNA
Rfam family: Archaeal small subunit ribosomal RNA
Source: RNAcentral
UGGGUCUAAACAUCCGUAGCUUGUUUCAUAAGUUUCUUGUGAAAUUCUGUCUCUUAAGGGCAGAGCGAGCAAGAAAUACUAUGUUGCUAGAGUCUGGAGGAUGUGAAGAGUACAAUCGAAGUAGUGGUAAAAUACGUUAAUCUUGAUUGGACUAACAACAGCGAAGGCACUUCACAACUACAGUUCUGACAGUGAGGGAUGAAGGCUAGGGGCGCAAAACGGAUUAGAUACCCGUGUAGUCCUAGCAGUAAACACUGCGCACUAAACAUCGGAACCUCCUCGAGAGGUUUCGGUGCUGUAGGGAAGCCGAAGAGUGCGCUACCUGGGAAGUAUAGUCGCAAGGCCGAAACUUAAAGGAAUUGGCGGGGGAGCACAAG